Molecule: long non-coding RNA, 347 nt
Filed under: Mytilus galloprovincialis (Mediterranean mussel)
Lineage: Eukaryota; Metazoa; Mollusca; Bivalvia; Mytilida; Mytilidae
Source: RNAcentral
GCUUGGUAAGUAUGCCAUAAGGUAGCAAUAAACAGUUAGGAAAAAUUAUUAAAAUUUGCCCUUAUAAAUUUUACCAUCCCCUUUUCAUUGCUUUCUUGCAAUACUAAGCUUAAUAUUUGUGUCAUAUAUGUGCAUAUGUAUGUAAUCAGAAUCUUCCAUAGAUUUUAUAUCCAGUAUAUAAAAUGGUAAAAUAUAAUUUCUUUUGGGUGUAUCCAUGGCAACAAUCUGCACUUAUUUGCUAUAAAAUAUUGCAAAAAGGGGGGAAAAGAUGUCACAUAUUUCCCCAAAAUUUGGCUAAAAGUAGAAUUUCAAUCGCUUGAAGUAAUACCUUUUCUGAAACUGUGUAC